AUCUGGACCUGGCAGGGGAGAUACCAUGAGCACGAAGGUGGUUUUCCCAGGGUGAAGCUUAUCCAUUGCACUCCAGAUGUGCUGACCCUGCAAUUUUUCCAACUGUGGGAAACUCAACUGCAUAAUUUGUGGUAGUGGGGGACUGUGUUCGCGCUCUCCCCUU
Erinaceus europaeus (western European hedgehog) is the source of this 163-nucleotide small nuclear RNA. Its record names the gene U1. It matches the Rfam family "U1 spliceosomal RNA". From Rfam's summary of the family: U1 is a small nuclear RNA (snRNA) component of the spliceosome (involved in pre-mRNA splicing). Its 5' end forms complementary base pairs with the 5' splice junction, thus defining the 5' donor site of an intron. There are significant differences in sequence and secondary structure between metazoan and yeast U1 snRNAs, the latter being much longer (568 nucleotides as compared to 164 nucleotides in human). NCBI's taxonomy places the organism in Eukaryota, Metazoa, Chordata, Mammalia, Eulipotyphla, Erinaceidae. The record is from Ensembl.